CUUAUGUGGUUUUCGGAACCCAAUAUGUGAAGGGUUAAUUCUAUUUUUAGGUUGAAGGAAAAUACAGUGUAUAAUUUGGGAAGUGCUUUCAAUUCUACUCUCAUCUCUAAUAUGAAUAUGGAUUACAACCCUGGCCCUGAGUAACCCAAAAGCUAAAAUCACACCCUCUUAAUCUGAACUUCAUUGUAGAUGUACCUCUCUUUCCCUUUUAAUUGCUUCUUAGGGCUUCUUUGUUUUGAUUUUCAUCAUCCAAUUUGUUAAAUUUAUUGUUAAUUUCAGGGUACUACCAGUUUUCUGCUGGCUCUGAUUCCACACUUCAGAAAGAAAUUCUGGUCGUGAGAGGAAGAAGCUGGUUCCUUGCCAUUUUUAGAAGGUGGUAGUGAAAUUGGAUUUACAUAACUCCAACCUUACAGGUAUCAAUUUUUUUUUUAAGCAUGUCGGUUUAAUUUGGCUCCGUGAAAAACUUAGAAAAUAAUAAAAAUGUAAAAACAAUUCUGAAUUAUUUUUCAUUCAUCAGCACCCACUAAGUUCUUUGUAUUGGUUGAGAAGUUAAUGAAUAUUUGUCAAGUUUUAUGUUUUUAUGCAUGCUUAUUGUGUAUAAAAUGACCGUGUUUGUAAAAAUUGAACCUUUGGCUUAUUUCUAUACAAAAAUUAAAUUCUUCGAUUUGCUUUUUCAUAUUGUGGGAUGAGUGUUUUGUAAAAACUUGACCUUUGGCUCAUACAUGUGUAAACCUGAGGAUUUGGAGUUGUUUUCUGUGUUGGUUAUGAAUUUUAGGUGACUAAAUUGGUGGUUUGGUAUAUUAAGUUAAGUUACAAAGUAGAUUUUACCUUUGUUUUGGAAAAGUGUGUAGCUAAGAUUAUUUUGAAGUUCCUGUUCAUUACAAUAUUGUGAUUUUGAUAAGAGCUUUGUCUACAUGUUUUUUGUUGAGUAUUGGUUUACUUGGUUAGAAGAAACUCUAUGAGGUUAUGUUAAAAUUUAUUUUGUGGAUGAACCCAAUUAGUUAAAUUUGUCGGGUUUAAGUUAUGUAAGAAAUUUAAUUGCAAAGUUGAGUGUUUUUUUUUUUUUUUUUCUGAGUUAUGUUAAUAAUUCUAUAUAAAUUUUUUGUAAAUUCAUGGUUGGGUUUAAGUUAUAUUAUAAAACAUGGAUCAUUCAAGUCUCAAUACAACUGGAUAUUUGUUUACUUGCACAAAUUUUUUGUGCACAGAAGUUUGUUUCUGUUUCUCAGGUUCUUUGCCCCCGUGUUUAUUAAUUGUGUUUUCUCUAUUCAUUUGGGCUGUCUCAGUGAUUGAAGAUCUCAAUCAAGGUUCUUUCCCUAUCUUUUCAAGCUAGAUUAGCUGGUGAGUGAUAUGCUCUUUGUAGUGGUGCGGUAUCAUUGGUGCUCACUUUGUAUUUUUCCAAUCCCUAUAUAUCUGCUCAACUCUUGGGUCAAUUAUUUGCCGGUAGGAAUGUUUAAUUGCUUGAUCAAUGAUGUCGAUUCAAUUUGAAGAAGAAAUAGAACUUGUGUUCAAUACGGAUUUGAAAUAUGAGUAAGAUGUCUCAAUUGUUCAUUGAUUCUUA
This is a non-coding RNA of Malus domestica (apple), 1558 nucleotides long. NCBI's taxonomy places the organism in Eukaryota, Viridiplantae, Streptophyta, Magnoliopsida, Rosales, Rosaceae. The record is from RefSeq and is a predicted model, not a curated record.